This 465-nucleotide ribosomal RNA is filed under the name uncultured bacterium. Its description in RNAcentral is "partial 16S ribosomal RNA". It matches the Rfam family "Bacterial small subunit ribosomal RNA", at positions 28 to 507 of the family's 1533-position model. The record is from RNAcentral.
GACGGACGCUGGCGGCGUGCUUAACACAUGCAAGUCGAACGGAAAGGUCCCAGCUUGCUGGGGUACUCGAGUGGCGAACGGGUGAGUAACACGUGGGUGAUCUGCCCUGCACUCUGGGAUAAGCCUGGGAAACUGGGUCUAAUACCGGAUAGGACCGUGCUUUAGUGUGUGCGGUGGAAAGUUUUUCGGUGCAGGAUGAGCCCGCGGCCUAUCAGCUUGUUGGUGGGGUAAUGGCCUACCAAGGCGGCGACGGGUAGCCGGCCUGAGAGGGUGUACGGCCACAUUGGGACUGAGACACGGCCCAGACUCCUACGGGAGGCAGCAGUGGGGAAUAUUGCACAAUGGGCGCAAGCCUGAUGCAGCGACGCCGCGUGGGGGAUGACGGCCUUCGGGUUGUAAACCCCUUUCGGCAGGGACGAAGCUUUUGUGACGGUACCUGCAUAAGAAGCACCGGCUAACUACGUG